Molecule: non-coding RNA, 28 nt
Filed under: Homo sapiens (human)
Lineage: Eukaryota; Metazoa; Chordata; Mammalia; Primates; Hominidae
Source: RNAcentral
UGGAGCUAUUGGUGAUGUCCAAGGGAAA